RNAcentral lists this ribosomal RNA (232 nucleotides) under uncultured archaeon. RNAcentral's name for it is "partial 16S ribosomal RNA". It matches the Rfam family "Archaeal small subunit ribosomal RNA", at positions 493 to 724 of the family's 1478-position model. The record is from RNAcentral.
UGGCGAUUUAUUUGGGCCUAAAGCGUCCGUAGCUGGCCCUGCAAGUCCGUCGGGAAAUCCACUCGCCUAACGAGUGGGCGUCCGGCGGAAACUACAGGGCUUGGGACCGGAAGACUUGAGGGGUACGUCUGGGGUAGGAGUGAAAUCCUGUAAUCCUGGACGGACCGCCGAUAGCGAAAGCACCUCAAGACGACGGAUCCGACAGUGAGGGACGAAAGCUAGGGUCUCGAAC